CUUGCUUCUUCUGAUUUUAGCGGCGGACGGGUGAGUAACACGUGGGCAACCUACCUUGUAGAUUGGGAUAACUCCGGGAAACCGGGGCUAAUACCGAAUAAACCAUUUUGCUUCAUGGCAAGAUGUUGAAAGGCGGCUUCGGCUGUCACUACUAGAUGGGCCCGCGGCGUAUUAGCUAGUUGGUAGGGUAAUGGCCUACCAAGGCGACGAUACGUAGCCGACCUGAGAGGGUGAUCGGCCACACUGGGACUGAGACACGGCCCAGACUCCUACGGGAGGCAGCAGUAGGGAAUCUUCCACAAUGGACGAAAGUCUGAUGGAGCAACGCCGCGUGAGUGAAGAAGGUUUUCGGAUCGUAAAACUCUGUUGUAAGGGAAGAACACGUACGAGAGUAACUGCUCGUACCUUGACGGUACCUUAUUAGAAAGCCACGGCUAACUACGUGCCAGCAGCCGCGGUAAUACGUAGGUGGCAAGCGUUGUCCGGAAUUAUUGGGCGUAAAGCGCGCGCAGGCGGUUCUUUAAGUCUGAUGUGAAAGCCCACGGCUCAACCGUGGAGGGUCAUUGGAAACUGGAGAACUUGAGUACAGAAGAGGAAAGCGGAAUUCCACGUGUAGCGGUG
This 621-nucleotide ribosomal RNA is filed under the name Paenisporosarcina sp. B1334_1. Its description in RNAcentral is "bacterial SSU rRNA". It matches the Rfam family "Bacterial small subunit ribosomal RNA", at positions 79 to 683 of the family's 1533-position model. The record is from RNAcentral. Lineage: Bacteria; Bacillati; Bacillota; Bacilli; Caryophanales; Caryophanaceae.